AACGAACGCUGGCGGCAUGCCUAACACAUGCGAGUCGAACGAGACCUUCGGGUCUAGUGGCGCACGGGUGCGUAACGCGUGGGAAUCUACCCUCAGGUUCGGAAUAACUCAGAGAAAUUUGAGCUAAUACCGGAUGAUGACGUAAGUCCAAAGAUUUAUCGCCUGAGGAUGAGCCCGCUUAGGAUUAGGUAGUUGGUGAGGUAAAGGCUCACCAAGCCGACGAUCCUUAGCUGGUCUGAGAGGAUGAUCAGCCACACUGGGACUGAGACACGGCCCAGACUCCUACGGGAGGCAGCAGUGGGGAAUAUUGGACAAUGGGCGAAAGCCUGAUCCAGCAAUGCCGCGUGAGUGAUGAAGGCCUUAGGGUUGUAAAGCUCUUUUACCCGGGAUGAUAAUGACAGUACCGGGAGAAUAAGCUCCGGCUAACUCCGUG
RNAcentral lists this ribosomal RNA (433 nucleotides) under uncultured bacterium. RNAcentral's name for it is "partial 16S ribosomal RNA". It matches the Rfam family "Bacterial small subunit ribosomal RNA", at positions 29 to 507 of the family's 1533-position model. The record is from RNAcentral.